AGCGCGAGAGAGCUUGCUCUCUUGGCGGCGAGUGGCGGACGGGUGAGUAAUAUAUCGGAACGUGCCCAGUAGCGGGGGAUAACUACUCGAAAGAGUGGCUAAUACCGCAUACGCCCUACGGGGGAAGGGGGGGGAUCGCAAGACCUCUCACUAUUGGAGCGGCCGAUAUCGGAUUAGGUAGUUGGUGGGGUAAAGGCUCACCAAGGCAACGAUCCGUAGCUGGUUUGAGAGGACGACCAGCCACACUGGGACUGAGACACGGCCCACACUCCUACGGGAGGCAGCAGUGG
RNAcentral lists this ribosomal RNA (290 nucleotides) under Alcaligenes faecalis. Its description in RNAcentral is "partial 16S ribosomal RNA". It matches the Rfam family "Bacterial small subunit ribosomal RNA", at positions 65 to 357 of the family's 1533-position model. Lineage: Bacteria; Pseudomonadati; Pseudomonadota; Betaproteobacteria; Burkholderiales; Alcaligenaceae. The record is from RNAcentral.